This 837-nucleotide ribosomal RNA is filed under the name Triticum aestivum (bread wheat). RNAcentral's name for it is "partial small subunit ribosomal RNA". The record is from RNAcentral. Lineage: Eukaryota; Viridiplantae; Streptophyta; Magnoliopsida; Poales; Poaceae.
AUGAAUACACUCCAGACCACGUCGGAAUGCUCCGAGGGGCAAUUGCAGGUUGUAACAACCUGGUACAUCAAUCUGUACGGGGCGAAUCCGCCAGUCCCCAAGUUCAAAGAAUUUAUUGUGAAAUGCGGGAAUCUCCAGAAACUAUGGGUGAUGGACCUAAUUAGGGACGAUGGUUUAGCUGUCGUGGCCUUAAGUUGCAAGAAAUUGCAAGAGCUUCGGGGUUUUUCCAUUAUGACAAAUGAGAAGCUGAAGAAUAUUGCAGAAGCCCAUCCCUGUCUCACCCACUUCCGGUUAGGGAUCCAUAAUCCCAAGGAAAGAGAUUACAGCACAGGAGAAUAUUUUGAUGAAGGCUUUGGCGCAAUUGCGAGAUCUUGCAAGGGCCUUAAACGCCUCUCAUUGGGCGGUUAUCUCACAGACCGUGUGUUCAAAUAUAUUGGUGACCAUGCCAAGAGUCUUCAUAUGUUCUCCACUGCCUUCACUGGGACAACUGAACAAGGCCUGGAUGACGUCCUCAGAGGUUGCAAGAGCCUCAGGAAAAUGGAUGUCAAAGGCUGCCCAUUUGGGAAUAAGGCAUUGCUCCAAAAUACUGAAAAGCUGAAAACAAUGAGGUCAUUUUUCAUGUCAGGGUGCCCCCCACUGACCGUGGGCGGAUGUAAAGAGCUAGCCAAAAAUAUUCAUGGGUUUGCUUUUGAAAUCCUAAUGAAUUAUGAUUGGAGAACAUGCCCACCUGGGGAUGAAUGCCAGGUCGAAAGAUUGUUUGUCUACCCGACAAUUUCCAAUCAAAGGCCCGACGCACCAAACUGUGUCCGCAGUUUUUGGUACCCAGUCCCAAAAUAG